RNAcentral lists this ribosomal RNA (481 nucleotides) under uncultured bacterium. RNAcentral describes it as "partial 16S ribosomal RNA". It matches the Rfam family "Bacterial small subunit ribosomal RNA", at positions 28 to 523 of the family's 1533-position model. The record is from RNAcentral.
GACGAACGCUGGCGGCGUACUUAACACAUGCAAGUCGAGCGGAAAGGCCACUUCGGUGGUACUCGAGCGGCGAACGGGUGAGUAACACGUGAGUAAUCUGCCCCUGGCUUUGGGAUAGCCACCGGAAACGGUGAUUAAUACCGGAUACGACCACUUCUCGCAUGGGAUGGUGGUGGAAAGUUUUUUCGGCCAGGGAUGUGCUCGCGGCCUAUCAGCUUGAUGGUGAGGUAAUGGCUCACCAUGGCUUCGACGGGUAGCCGGCCUGAGAGGGUGCCCGGUCACACUGGGAAUGGGACACGGCCCAGACUCCUACGGGAGGCAGCAGUGGGGAAUAUUGGACAAUGGGCGGAAGCCUGAUCCGGCAACGCCGCGUGAGGGAUGACGGCCUUCGGGUUGUAAACCUCUUUCAGCAGGGACGAAGCGCAAGUGACGGUACCUGCAGAAGAAGCACCGGCCAACUACGUGCCAGCCGCCGCCGUAA